AUUGAUAUGGGGACGUACAGUAAUGACAUGAACUGGUGAGUAAUCUCUUGAUUUUGCAAUACCACCUAGGGAUAGGGGUAGGACGAUCAAUUGCGCUAACUUCUGUUUAUAAUGCGGUAUUAAUUACUAGGGGAGGCUAGGGAUAGCAAGCUAGUAGUUAAUAUUAGGCCUUUUUCGCCGAGGGAUCGGGUUGAGGGGAGGCUAAGAAAGUCGCAUAACAAUUGAAUCAAUCAACUAAUAUUCAAGGGUAGUAUGUAAGAGAGAGUGGAAUAGAUGAAAUUGUUAGUACCCAACAACAUCCAUUCCUCCAUUGUUUUCGCUUGUCAAUUGAAUCAACUUUAUUUUUGCAUGUUAAUAUUUUUGUUCUCAAAAUCUAAUUUAUUAAUUUUUAUUUCUCAAGUCUUAUUAUUUUAAUUCACGCGAACGAGAAAGCCAUAU
RNAcentral lists this long non-coding RNA (438 nucleotides) under Vigna radiata. Its description in RNAcentral is "long non-coding RNA (VRAD_LNC011778)". Lineage: Eukaryota; Viridiplantae; Streptophyta; Magnoliopsida; Fabales; Fabaceae. The record is from RNAcentral.